RNAcentral lists this ribosomal RNA (339 nucleotides) under Triticum aestivum (bread wheat). Its description in RNAcentral is "partial small subunit ribosomal RNA". Lineage: Eukaryota; Viridiplantae; Streptophyta; Magnoliopsida; Poales; Poaceae. The record is from RNAcentral.
AUGCGCUUCCCCAACCACGACAACGACGACGCCGUGAGCUGCCGACCUCUUCCUGGGCUUCGCAACCAACUUCCAGCAGGUCUACGCGCUGGCGCAGUGCGACGUUUACUGCAGCAACUGCGUCACCCAGGCCGUGCAGCACAUCGCGGUCGAGUGCGGCGGCGCCCCCUCCGGCCAGGGUCUACAAUGCACCACCUUGAUUUGUUGAUUCGGUCUGGAGCAGCAGCAGCAACAGCUCCUUCCUUCCAUGUAGAUGGAGGGCAUGACCUGCACAAGGAGCUCCAAGGUCACAAAGUGAUUGCUAAAAAUGACAGGGAUCAGAUCGACCGCCAAGAAUGA